AACGAACGCUGGCGGCAUGCCUAACACAUGCAAGUCGAACGAGACCUUCGGGUCUAGUGGCGCACGGGUGCGUAACGCGUGGGAAUCUACCCUUGGGUUCGGGAUAACAGUGAGAAAUCGCUGCUAAUACCGGAUGAUGACGUAAGUCCAAAGAUUUAUCGCCCAGGGAUGAGCCCGCGUAGGAUUAGCUAGUUGGUGAGGUAAAGGCUCACCAAGGCGACGAUCCUUAGCGGUCUGAGAGGAUGAUCAGCCACACUGGGACUGAGACACGGCCCAGACUCCUACGGGAGGCAGCAGUGGGGAAUAUUGGACAAUGGGCGAAAGCCUGAUCCAGCAAUGCCGCGUGAGUGAUGAAGGCCUUAGGGUUGUAAAGCUCUUUUACCCGGGAUGAUAAUGACAGUACCGGGAGAAUAAGCUCCGGCUAACUCCGUGCCAGCCGCCGCAGUAAU
This 449-nucleotide ribosomal RNA is filed under the name uncultured bacterium. Its description in RNAcentral is "bacterial SSU rRNA". It matches the Rfam family "Bacterial small subunit ribosomal RNA", at positions 29 to 524 of the family's 1533-position model. The record is from RNAcentral.